UGGGGAAUAUUGCACAAUGGGCGCAAGCCUGAUGCAGCCAUGCCGCGUGUGUGAAGAAGGCCUUCGGGUUGUAAAGCACUUUCAGCGAGGAGGAAGGUGGUGAACUUAAUACGUUCAUCAAUUGACGUUACUCGCAGAAGAAGCACCGGCUAACUCCGUGCCAGCAGCCGCGGUAAUACGGAGGGUGCAAGCGUUAAUCGGAAUUACUGGGCGUAAAGCGCACGCAGGCGGUUUGUUAAGUCAGAUGUGAAAUCCCCGGGCUCAACCUGGGAACUGCAUUUGAAAACUGGCAAGCUAGAGCCUCGUAGAGGGGGGUAGAAUUCCAGGUGUAGCGGUGAAAUGCGUAGAGAUCUGGAGGAAUACCGGUGGCGAACGGCGGCCCCCUGGACGAAGACUGACGCUCAGGUGCGAAAAGCGUGGGGAGCAAACAGGAUUAGAUACCCCUGGUAGUCCACGCUGUAAAACGAUGUCGAUUUUGGAGGUUGUGCCCUUGAGGCGUGGCUUCCGGAGCUAACGCGUUAAAUCGACCGCCUGGGGAGUACGGCCGCAAGGUUAAAACUUAAAUGAAUU
RNAcentral lists this ribosomal RNA (570 nucleotides) under uncultured bacterium. RNAcentral describes it as "partial 16S ribosomal RNA". It matches the Rfam family "Bacterial small subunit ribosomal RNA", at positions 355 to 911 of the family's 1533-position model. The record is from RNAcentral.